Molecule: ribosomal RNA, 531 nt
Filed under: Streptococcus sp. oral clone BP2-2
Lineage: Bacteria; Bacillati; Bacillota; Bacilli; Lactobacillales; Streptococcaceae
Description: bacterial SSU rRNA
Rfam family: Bacterial small subunit ribosomal RNA
Source: RNAcentral
AGAGUUUGAUCCUGGCUCAGGACGAACGCUGGCGGCGUGCCUAAUACAUGCAAGUAGAACGCUGAAGAGAGGAGCUUGCUCUUCUUGGAUGAGUUGCGAACGGGUGAGUAACGCGUAGGUAACCUGCCUUGUAGCGGGGGAUAACUAUUGGAAACGAUAGCUAAUACCGCAUAACAAUGGAUGGCACAUGUCAUUUAUUUGAAAGGGGCAAUUGCUCCACUACAAGAUGGACCUGCGUUGUAUUAGCUAGUAGGUGAGGUAACGGCUCACCUAGGCGACGAUACAUAGCCGACCUGAGAGGGUGAUCGGCCACACUGGGACUGAGACACGGCCCAGACUCCUACGGGAGGCAGCAGUAGGGAAUCUUCGGCAAUGGGGGCAACCCUGACCGAGCAACGCCGCGUGAGUGAAGAAGGUUUUCGGAUCGUAAAGCUCUGUUGUAAGUCAAGAACGAGUGUGAGAGUGGAAAGUUCACACUGUGACGGUAGCUUACCAGAAAGGGACGGCUAACUACGUGCCAGCAGCCGCGGU